This 1075-nucleotide long non-coding RNA is filed under the name Anser brachyrhynchus (Pink-footed goose). Its description in RNAcentral is "lncRNA (ENSABRG00000016778.1)". Lineage: Eukaryota; Metazoa; Chordata; Aves; Anseriformes; Anatidae. The record is from RNAcentral.
UUAUCUGUGACCGAAUGCCUGGAAACACGCAUUGUUGUGUCUGCUGCCGUUACACGAGGGCUGUCAGCGCGGAGCCUGCGAGUGCUGGGCAGGCAGCAGGGAAGCCGGAGCGGUGCAGGACUCGAUCCAAAGGCUAUCCAAGUCAUCGGGAAGCAUCACGUUGGCUCCUGCAGCCUUCGGCGAAGACACAACUCCUUUCACUGUAACCGCAUCUGAAUCCCUGCAACAGGCGUUACUUAAUAACCCUGAGUAGCGAAACAGAAGAAAAUUUCUUUGAAAGUAUGUGCCAAUCUCCCAAAUAGCAUUUCCAGCAAAAAAGGCCGCUUAACAGCUACUACCGCUGCAGACAGAAAAGGAAAAUGAGGCCUUCCUCACCUCUCCAGUACCACGGCGCAACUAGUGCCGGGAAAUGGCUCUGAAAUCGAGGCACAGGCUUUCGCCACUGCUUGUUCCAGCUACAAAGAAUGUGUGCGUUUCGAUGAGGCUUUCAGACAUUGGGAAGAUACUCAUUAAGAGGGUGAAAUCCAGAGCAGAGUCUGUACAGCGCCUUGGGCAGCACCUGGGAGUUCCAGUGUUUCUUCUGUUUCUUCUUAAUGUGACGAAACCUGAGCAUGAAUGGGAAGAGUUCAUUCGUAAUGCGGCCAGCCCCUGCGGUGUCGAGCUGAGAAAGUCUGCGGUUGUUAUUUCCUCCUGUGGGGUGUUUGUGGAUGACCAUCGCUGUCCCGAGAGCACCAGCCUGCGCAGCAGACAGCACGGUGUGUCCGGGCAGACAGCAGGCAGUGUCUGGGCAAACGUCGUGGUGUGUCCUGCUCGUGGCCAUGCCCAGCUUUGCCUAUUCGAUGUGCUGUCCGUCCCUACAUGCACAUUUCCUGAAUGGCCCUUUACCUCUGGAGCUGCAGCGGGCCGUGGAGUGAGCUGUGGUGCCAGGGUCACCCUCUGCACCCUGACCACCAGUGGGUGCAGAAGCAGAUGCUGGAGGGGCGAUGCAGCGACAGCAAUCACUCGCUUCCCGAAGGAGCAGAGAGGUGGUCCCGACCCGCACCCAGCGCUGCUCUCAAACCAGCUCCAACCCUGA